This 396-nucleotide ribosomal RNA is filed under the name uncultured soil bacterium. RNAcentral's name for it is "bacterial SSU rRNA". It matches the Rfam family "Bacterial small subunit ribosomal RNA", at positions 26 to 450 of the family's 1533-position model. The record is from RNAcentral.
AGAACGAACGCUGGCGGCAUGCCUAACACAUGCAAGUCGAACGAGACCUUCGGGUCUAGUGGCGCACGGGUGCGUAACGCGUGGGAACCUGCCCUUAGGUUCGGAAUAACUCAGAGAAAUUUGAGCUAAUACCGGAUAAUGUCUUCGGACCAAAGAUUUAUCGCCUUUGGAUGGGCCCGCGUAGGAUUAGCUAGUUGGCGGGUAAAGCCUACCAAGGCGACGAUCCUUAGCUGGUCUGAGAGGAUGAUCAGCCACACUGGGACUGAGACACGGCCCAGACUCCUACGGGAGGCAGCAGUGGGGAAUAGUUGGACAAUGGGCGAAAGCCUGAUCCAGCAAUGACCGCGUGAGUGAUGAAGGCCGUUAGGGUGUAAAGCUCUUUACCGGAUGAUAAUG